This is a long non-coding RNA of Mercurialis annua (annual mercury), 442 nucleotides long. RefSeq lists it as uncharacterized. The record is from RefSeq and is a predicted model, not a curated record. The transcript has 2 exons. Lineage: Eukaryota; Viridiplantae; Streptophyta; Magnoliopsida; Malpighiales; Euphorbiaceae.
GCAAAAAUCAUAAAUUGAAACUAAAAAAGAAAAAUGGCAAACAAGAUUGUUGCACUAUUUGUUAUGUGCCUGGUUGUUGUUGCUGCUGUGCAGCUAAUUCCUCAAGCUCAGGCUGAUACUUUUGAAUAUUGCUUCGUUCAUUGUGAAAAAGAUUGCAUCGCCUCCGGUCAGGGCAAAACCAACUGCCAAACGAAGUGCAACUCCGACUGCUUCGACAAAGUGAUCGCCGGUAAGGAUCCCAAUCCUUGAGCUUUAUGAACACUUAUGGAGUGGAUCAUGCUACUAAUUCAUAAUGUGUAUAAUAAUGGCACAACAAUGAAGGAGUACCUUUUUUGUAUUUUUGAUCAUUUGUAAUAAAAAAUUAUUAAUUAACCAUUUUAUUUUAAUAUAUGUAUUUUUUGUAUAAUAAAAAAAAUUAUUAAUUAACUAUUUUAUUUUUAUA